This 1557-nucleotide ribosomal RNA is filed under the name Salamandra infraimmaculata. Its description in RNAcentral is "partial 16S ribosomal RNA". It matches the Rfam family "Bacterial large subunit ribosomal RNA". The record is from RNAcentral. Lineage: Eukaryota; Metazoa; Chordata; Amphibia; Caudata; Salamandridae.
CCACCCCACAUAAUCAAUAAUCCUACUAACCAAUAAAAUAAAUCAUUUAAUUAUGGAAGUAUAGGCGAUAGAAACCCUCAUUUGAGCAAUAGAAAUAGUACUGCAAAGGAAAGAUGAAAUAAAAAUGAAAUAAAUAACUUAAACGAAUAAAAGAAAAGAUUAACUCUUAUACCUUUUGCAUAAUGGUCUAGUAAGUCAAACUUAACAAAAAGAAAUAAAGUUAAUUUCCCCGAAACUAGACGAGCUACUUAAGAGCAGCAUAUAUGAGCUAACCCUUCUCUGUGGCAAAAGAGUGGGAUGACUCUUAAGUAGAGGUGAUAAGCCUAACGAGCCUAGUGAUAGCUGGUUGCUCGAAAAAUGGAUUUUAGUUCAGCUUAAAGCACUUUAAAAUUAAAUAAAAAUAAUAAUAGAACUUUAAAGUUAAUUAAUAGAGGUACAGCUCUAUUAAUAAAGGAUACAACCUAUAAUAUGAAUAAAGAAUAUAAUAACGAAAGAAAUUAAUAAUGUAGGCCUAAAAGCAGCCACCAUAAAGAAAGCGUCAAAGCUCUUUUCUAAAAAACUUAUUAUACCACUAAUUAAUCUAAAUUCACAAACACUAUUGAGCCAAUCUAUUUUAUAGAUGAACUUAUACUAGAAUGAGUAAUAAGAAGAAAACUCUCUAAAUGCACGUGUAAAUCAGAACGAAUAACUCACUGAUAAUUAACGGUCAAAUAUAAUACCUAACAAGAAAAAUAUAUUAACUUAACCGUUAAUCCAACACAGGAGCAUUAAAGAAAGAUAAAAAGAUUAAAAAGGAACUCGGCAAGCAAGAACUUCGCCUGUUUACCAAAAACAUCGCCUCUUGUCCAUUAAACAUAAGAGGUCCCGCCUGCCCAGUGAUUUAUUUCAACGGCCGCGGUAUUAUGACCGUGCAAAGGUAGCGUAAUCACUUGUCUUUUAAAUAAAGACCAGUAUGAAUGGCAAAACGAAAGUUCAACUGUCUCUUUAAUCCUAUCAAUAAAAUUAAUUUUUCCGUGCAGAAGCGGAAAUAAAUCUAUAAGACGAGAAGACCCUAUGGAGCUUAAAACAUAAAAUUAAUUAUAUUAAUUAUAUUAACCAAUAGGCAAAAAAUAAAUUUGUAUAAUAUAAUUUGAGUUUUAGGUUGGGGCGACCACGGAAGAAAAAAAAUCCUCCGAGAUAAACAAUUUAGAAAUACAUUUCGAAAACUAAGACAUUUAUUACAAAUGAUCCAUUAAAUGACCAACGAACCAAGUUACCCUAGGGAUAACAGCGCAAUCCUUUCUAAGAGUUCAUAUCGACGAAUGGGUUUACGACCUCGAUGUUGGAUCAGGACAUCCCAAUGGUGUAGCCGCUAUUAAAGGUUCGUUUGUUCAACGAUUAAAGUCCUACGUGAUCUGAGUUCAGACCGGAGUAAUCCAGGUCAGUUUCUAUCUAUACCCUAAUUUUUUCUAGUACGAAAGGACCGAAAAAAUGGAGCCCAUGACAACUUAAGCUCCUUGUACUAUUGAAAACAAGUAAAAUAGACAAACAAUUCACUACCCCAAGAAUAGNNNNNNN